RNAcentral lists this transfer RNA (86 nucleotides) under Rhipicephalus microplus (southern cattle tick). RNAcentral describes it as "tRNA-Ser". It matches the Rfam family "tRNA". From Rfam's summary of the family: Transfer RNA (tRNA) molecules are approximately 80 nucleotides in length. Lineage: Eukaryota; Metazoa; Arthropoda; Arachnida; Ixodida; Ixodidae. The record is from RNAcentral.
GGCGAGGUAGCCGAGUGGUUAAGGCGAUGGACUGCUAAUUCAUUGGGCUGUGCCCACGUGGGUUCGAGUCCCACCCUCGUAGAUCA